RNAcentral lists this ribosomal RNA (505 nucleotides) under uncultured Glomus. RNAcentral's name for it is "SSU rRNA". It matches the Rfam family "Eukaryotic small subunit ribosomal RNA", at positions 569 to 1078 of the family's 1831-position model. The record is from RNAcentral. Lineage: Eukaryota; Fungi; Glomeromycota; Glomeromycetes; Glomerales; Glomeraceae.
AGCAGCCGCGGUAAUUCCAGCUCCAAUAGCGUAUAUUAAAGUUGUUGCAGUUAAAAAGCUCGUAGUUGAAUUUCGGGAUUAGUACGUUGGUCGUGCCUUNGGUACGUACUGGUGUUACUGAUUCCUACCUUCUGACGAACCAUCAUGUCAUUAAUUUGGUGUGGNGGGGAAUCAGGACUGUUACUUUGAAAAAAUUAGAGUGUUUAAAGCAGGCUCGCGCUUGAAUACAUUAGCAUGGAAUAAUGAAAUAGGACGUUGACCCUAUUUUGUUGGUUUCUAGGAUUGACGUAAUGAUUAAUAGGGAUAGUUGGGGGCAUUAGUAUUCAAUUGUCAGAGGUGAAAUUCUUGGAUUUAUUGAAGACUAACUACUGCGAAAGCAUUUGCCAAGGAUGUUUUCAUUAAUCAAGAACGAAAGUUAGGGGAUCGAAGACGAUCAGAUACCGUCGUAGUCUUAACCAUAAACUAUGCCGACUAGGGAUCGGAUGAUGUUAUUUUUAAUGACUCA